Molecule: non-coding RNA, 214 nt
Filed under: Tepidibacillus sp.
Lineage: Bacteria; Bacillati; Bacillota; Bacilli; Caryophanales; Bacillaceae
Description: T-box sequence
Rfam family: T-box leader
About the family: Uncharged tRNA acts as the effector for transcription antitermination of genes in the T-box leader family.
Source: RNAcentral
AACAAUGUGUUGAAGAGGAUUAGUAGGUCUUUCCUGUGAAACAGAGAGUAAGACCCUUGGCUGUAAGGCUUACCACAAGGGAUUCCGAACCCACCUCGGAGCGGCUAGGGACUUUUUUAACCUAGACAGGGAUCUUCUGCCUGUUAUCAAGAAGAAAGUGGGCUUAAUAGCCAAUCAAGGUGGUACCACGGAAGAAAACUCUUUCGUCCUUAUU